GACGAGUGGCGGACGGGUGAGUAAUGCUUGGGAAUUUGCCUAGUAGUGGGGGACAACACGGGGAAACUCGUGCUAAUACCGCAUAAGCCCUACGGGGGAAAGCGGGGGAUCUUCGGACCUCGCGCUAUUAGAUGAGCCUGCGUCGGAUUAGCUAGUUGGUAGGGUAAAGGCCUACCAAGGCGACGAUCCGUAGCUGGUCUGAGAGGAUGAUCAGCCACACUGGGACUGAGACACGGCCCAGACUCC
Molecule: ribosomal RNA, 246 nt
Filed under: uncultured bacterium
Lineage: Bacteria
Description: partial 16S ribosomal RNA
Rfam family: Bacterial small subunit ribosomal RNA
Source: RNAcentral